This 323-nucleotide long non-coding RNA is filed under the name Fukomys damarensis (Damara mole-rat). RNAcentral's name for it is "lncRNA (ENSFDAG00000028139.1)". The record is from RNAcentral. Lineage: Eukaryota; Metazoa; Chordata; Mammalia; Rodentia; Bathyergidae.
GUGGAGUUGAAGAUUUACAGUUUCACCUUGGGCUGAGAUGGGUACAUCAUUCACAAGGAAUAUAUUUCAAAAAUGAGGAGAACAUAAGAUACCAAGUUACUAGAUGUAAGCAAUGAAAGAUUGUGUGAGUGGGCUACUUUUAUCAUGGGAAGAUUAAUCUCAUUACAGAUACCAGCUAGGUGCUGAAAUACUUUUAUUUGUUUGAUUAAAAAUUGUGUGCACACUUCAGGAAAAGAAAAACUUGUAUAACUAUUUAAAUACUAAAUUUAUUGAGACAUCAUGAGAUUAACACAAGUUUCCUUUGGUCUCUAUAAUUACAAGGG